CCGUCUCAUGCCUCGCUCGAUCUGCAGCACCAAUCUGCAGACCUUGAGCUGGAUGCACUCUUGGUGUAAGAGACAAGAACAACCUUCGACGAUCUUUGAGUACGGGCGCGCCGGAACUUGUUCAGCGGCGAACUCGUAAUUUAUCUGUCGGUACAUUC
RNAcentral lists this small nucleolar RNA (158 nucleotides) under Neofusicoccum parvum UCRNP2. Lineage: Eukaryota; Fungi; Ascomycota; Dothideomycetes; Botryosphaeriales; Botryosphaeriaceae. The record is from RNAcentral.